This 3271-nucleotide long non-coding RNA is filed under the name Homo sapiens (human). RNAcentral's name for it is "HSALNT0293517". Lineage: Eukaryota; Metazoa; Chordata; Mammalia; Primates; Hominidae. The record is from RNAcentral.
AUUAUGCUCAUUCUUUUUUUUUUUAACCAGUAAGGAUCUGGAUAAAGAAAAACAUUUUAGAAAACCACUUGUAGAGUACCAUGAACCAGUCUCUCUUCUCCAUUUUAAAAAAUUUAUUGACUCACUUUUUUUCCAUAACUUUUUGAGAUAUUAUUUCAACCACUUUGCAUUUAGAGAAAAAGAGUCAGAGAGUGAUUAAGAAAUCUGCCCAAUGCUAUACUGAUAGAAGCUGGGAGAACUGGGAUUUGAGCUUACAUAGGCUAGUUCUAGCAUUUGUGAAGUUCUCGCCUAAUAAAAAUUAUCUGUAAUCAUAACCAGAGCAAGUCAUUUCUAACCUCCUGUCUAUAGACACGCGGAUACAUUUGUAAUGUUUUUGUUUGUUUGUUUUUAGCACGACAGAUCAAUUCCUGCUGGCAUUAUAGUUCUUUAACUAUCAUAGCUUCUCUGAUUUUUCAACACAUCUGUCAUCCGUAUUCUGCAGGCAUAGCCAACUCUGUCAGUGUCUCCUCAGGCAAUCAGAAUCAACAGACAGAAUGUAGGACAGAAAACUGGCUGCAAACAUGUUGGAAGGGCUGGAGGAGCGAAAGAGGGAAGAUCUGUUACCUAGAGAUAGUAACUUCCAGAAGUUACCACUAUACUAGUGCAGGAGAAGCAGAAAGGAAGAUGCUGCUACCCAGAGCCCACAGUCAUUGUGCCCCUGAUGCCGCUGGAACCCCACUGCAGCUGCUUUACAGGAAGCAGGGAAUUAGCGCUCUUGCUGAUGCUACAGGUAUCCAGGAUCCAAAAGUCAUCAGCCGCUGUCCCUGUUGCAGCCUAGGGAAACUGUCCCACUGAGGUUGUUGGGGUACCUGCUACUGCAUCUACUGUCUGAACCAUGUUGCCUGAGCAGAUGUCCAGGGCUCAGGCUUGCCUGCUGCUGUUACUGCUGCCACCAUGUUUAUCAGAGCUACUUCAAGAAGAGAAGAAAUCCUCCUCAUUUCCAGUUUUUUCCAGUGCCUCCCAUUGCUUCCCAGAAUGCCAAAUUCUCUUUGAGAGACAGCUGAAAGGAAGGUUUGGAAAAGACUCUGGUGUAAGCAGAUUCUGCUUCCCUGCAAUAGGGGGAAAGCAUAGGGUGGAACUGGAGCUGAGAGCUAAUCACGAAUGAGCAAAUCAGUCUUCAAGACAUUUACCUUUCCUUGAAACGUUUCCCUUCUUUUACCGUGUUUUCCAUGUCAUUAUUUUUCCACAAUUCUGCAUCAUAUUCUGUUAACUAUUAAUGCCCUGGAUAAGUUUAUUUGCUCUUUCUUAGGGUUAAUUUUUCUCCUUUUCUUCGAAGCUUUAGUUUGCAGGUUCAGCUUGUGUGGGAAUUUUCAUCUCCCUCCUCUUCAAGACUCCUUGGAUAUCAGUUUUUUGGUUGCCUUCACCAACUCUCCCCCCACCAUCUCUAGACCAGGGCAUGGUCUUAGUUGGUGGCUUGGACUCCUGUGGCUUGGAGUCUUUGGGGAUAUUAGAGAUCCAGUCACUGAGCUGGCAAAGGGAACACUGUCCUUGCUUCCAGCUUUAUGAAGAACGCUUUGCUCUGUCACCCCACGUGAGUCCAACUCUUGGCUGCCUACACUGCCUGAGGCUUCAGUUCUGGCAUCGUGCUGCAUGUGAUCUAUUAUCCUGCUUUUGAAUAUGCCUAUGACUUUUCUUUAUAUAUUUUUAAAAAUGUUAUUAUUGGUAUGUUUACAGUGAAGGGAAGAAUGUGAAGCAUGAACUCAAGAGUCACAGUAAUGAUAAAUUUUAAUGAUUGUAAUUGUCCUAUCUGUCAUAAUACAUUUAUUUUGUUGAUUUGUUUGGAUUUUCUAGGUAAAUAAUCAUGUUAUUCAAGGAUAAUGAAUGCAGCCACCAUGUAAUCAUCACUGACUCCAUGGCCAUGAGAAAAGAGACCUAAGAAAUGAUGCCCAUCCAGAAGAGUGAAGACUUCCUGAAAAUGUUCUUUUAACCUAAGAUGUAGGUUAAGAGGAGUGAAAAAAUGUUCUGUUUCUGACUGAUGAUGGAGCAACAAAGGUAUGUUUCUUAUUAAUAACACUGAGCAGUUAGGAAGCAGAUGUGCCUCUCCAGGGAAACUCACAAGUGUCCACUGACCUAGUAUCUGCGGAGAACCAUAGCAGUUGUGGUCUCUCUCCCCAGCUUCAAGCAAGGGCAACUUUUCCCUGUGUCUGGUUCUUUUGCUGUCACCUGAAGCCACAGAAAAUGAUCUGAACCUGCUCAGUCCCUGGACAUAUCUGGGGAAUACAAAGUCUCAGAGUCGCUCUCUAAGAAUUGCCAGCAUGUUCUAGAGAUUCUUUAGAUGCAUAGCUGCAUGGAGCAAAACAGGGUCAGGGGAUGUGUGCCGAGGCCAAGGUCUUCUCUUAUGUUUCAAAAAUAUUAACAUUUCAGGCCUGUCUUCUUUUAAAGGAUAGCUCAUGUAUAUGAUUUUUUAAAAAAAAAUCUACCAAAUCAAAUAAAGAAGUCCUGGGAGUUCACCCGGUGUUUUCUACAGAACCAAGGUAUUCAUAUUGAGAUCCUUCAAUAUAAUCAGCUAUGUGACCUUGGUUAAGUUAAUUAAUGCCUCUGAAACUGAGGUUCCUCAUCUGUGAAAUGGAGAUAUUCAACAAAGCACCCUGUGGGGAUUAGAUGAGAUUGCACAUCUGACUGCCUAGAGUAUAGUAAGGGGUCACUGUUUCCUCUUCACUCCUCAGGAAAAUUUGAUUGAACAAGGAUAGAAACUUUGAUUCUAGGGACAGAAGGUCUUCAGAAGUCUUUGAGGCCAGAGGGCCUGUCAUAGAACUGCAGUGUAGGUUCAUUAAAACGCUGUCAUCCUAAUGUUUAUCCACAGUAUCUAAUAGAUUUAAAAGGAAGACAAUAUGGCACAGACUAUUUCGGAAACCUAUGCCCAUUCUGCCAAGAGGAUAUCGCUAUUGGUGGUCAGACUAUUUCACUUAUAAGGUUUCUUUUUUCCUUAAGUCAUAAAGAUUAACAUUUACUAAAAAUUUGAGGGUCCAUUAAUGGACUCCCACAUGGCUUUCCUCUUUCCUUUGAGCUGGAUUCAUUUUCACUGAGUCCCGAGUCCUGCACAUCUGACAAUUGCUUCAGACCUUGGACAUGCUUGAAUUAUUUUAUGCAAAUCAUUUGAAAAGGCAAAGUACCACUGUUCUUUCUUGAGUUUCUUCGUAAACUGGUUUCUAAUUUAUCUGCUGCUUUUUCUCGAUCCAAUUUGUGCCUAUGUCUUACUAUAGAUUCUUUGGAAAUAAAGAAAUAAAGAAUA